UCCAUCGUGAGGUGGAAUGCGAAGGAAGCCUGAGGUAAAGUCUCGGUCUGAAGGAAAUAAACUCACUAGGAACGAACGAGUUUGCUACACAAAACAAAGUCCAACACUAUCCAAAUUCUUAGGAGUAAAUGUAGCAGAUAUGUGAGAUGGAUGUUGUUGUU
RNAcentral lists this non-coding RNA (161 nucleotides) under Clostridium uliginosum. The record is from RNAcentral. Lineage: Bacteria; Bacillati; Bacillota; Clostridia; Eubacteriales; Clostridiaceae.